This 391-nucleotide unclassified non-coding RNA is filed under the name soil metagenome. RNAcentral describes it as "partial contains 5.8S ribosomal RNA, internal transcribed spacer 2, and large subunit ribosomal RNA". The stretch from base 1 to 122 matches the Rfam family "5.8S ribosomal RNA", at positions 35 to 154 of the family's 154-position model. The record is from RNAcentral.
GAUGAAGAACGCAGCGAAAUGCGAUACUUGGUGUGAAUUGCAGAAUCCCGUGAACCAUCGAGUCUUUGAACGCAAGUUGCGCCCGAAGCCAUUAGGCCGAGGGCACGCCUGCCUGGGCGUCACACGUCGUUGCCCCCCCAUCUAAUCCUUCGGGAUUGCGGGGGGCGGGUGAUGGCCUCCCGUGCGCCUCGUCGCGCGGUUGGCAUAAAUGCCAAGUCCUCGGCGACGCACGCCACGACAAUCGGUGGUUGCGAAACCUCGGUUGCCCGUCGUGUGCGGUCGUCGCGCAUCGAGGGCUCGAAAAAAUUGCCGGGCUCCGGCUCGACUUUCAACGCGACCCCAGGUCAGGCGGGGUUACCCGCUGAAUUUAAGCAUAUCAAUAAGCGGAGGA